Molecule: small nuclear RNA, 118 nt
Organism: Lactuca sativa (garden lettuce)
Lineage: Eukaryota; Viridiplantae; Streptophyta; Magnoliopsida; Asterales; Asteraceae
Product: U5 spliceosomal RNA
Source: RefSeq, a predicted model, not a curated record
AGCCAUUUGGUGAUACCAAAGUGAACUAUUUUUUUGCCUUUUAUUAAAGAAUAUCGUGUUAUCGCCAUAUAUAGUGGUAUACGCCUAUUUUUGGAGAGUCCCUUCUUAUUGAUGGACU